This 253-nucleotide ribosomal RNA is filed under the name uncultured bacterium. RNAcentral's name for it is "partial 16S ribosomal RNA". It matches the Rfam family "Bacterial small subunit ribosomal RNA", at positions 524 to 776 of the family's 1533-position model. The record is from RNAcentral.
UACGGAAGGGGCAAGCGUUGUUCGGAAUCAUUGGGCGUAAAGGGCGCGUAGGCGGUUUUGUUUGUCCGCUGUAAAAGUCCACGGCUCACCCGUGGAGAGUCGGUGGAAACGGCAAGACUUGAGGCUGGGAGGGGUUGGUGGAAUUCCCUGUGUAGCGGUGAAAUGCGUAGAUACGGGGGAGAACACUCGUGGCGAAGGCGGCCAGCUGGCCCAGUCCUGACGCUGAGGCGCGACAGCGUGGGGAGCAAACAGG